RNAcentral lists this transfer RNA (68 nucleotides) under Myricaria squamosa. RNAcentral's name for it is "tRNA-His". It matches the Rfam family "tRNA". From Rfam's summary of the family: Transfer RNA (tRNA) molecules are approximately 80 nucleotides in length. Their secondary structure includes four short double-helical elements and three loops (D, anti-codon, and T loops). Further hydrogen bonds mediate the characteristic L-shaped molecular structure. tRNAs have two regions of fundamental functional importance: the anti-codon, which is responsible for specific mRNA codon recognition, and the 3' end, to which the tRNAs corresponding amino acid is attached (by aminoacyl-tRNA synthetases). tRNAs cope with the degeneracy of the genetic code in two manners: having more than one tRNA (with a specific anti-codon) for a particular amino acid; and 'wobble' base-pairing, i.e. permitting non-standard base-pairing at the 3rd anti-codon position. The record is from RNAcentral. RNAcentral also lists the same sequence under 4 other names. Lineage: Eukaryota; Viridiplantae; Streptophyta; Magnoliopsida; Caryophyllales; Tamaricaceae.
GCGGAUGUAGCCAAGUGGAUCAAGGCAGUGGAUUGUGAAUCCACCAUGCGCGGGUUCAAUUCCCGUCG